This 272-nucleotide ribosomal RNA is filed under the name uncultured Staphylococcus sp. Its description in RNAcentral is "partial 16S ribosomal RNA". It matches the Rfam family "Bacterial small subunit ribosomal RNA", at positions 90 to 355 of the family's 1533-position model. Lineage: Bacteria; Bacillati; Bacillota; Bacilli; Caryophanales; Staphylococcaceae. The record is from RNAcentral.
CGUUAGCGGCGGACGGGUGAGUAACACGUGGGUAACCUACCUAUAAGACUGGGAUAACUCCGGGAAACCGGGGCUAAUACCGGAUAAUACAUGAAACCGCAUGGUUUCAUGAUGAAAGACGGUUUUGCUGUCACUUAUAGAUGGACCCGCGGCGUAUUAGCUAGUUGGUAAGGUAACGGCUUACCAAGGCAACGAUACGUAGCCGACAUGAGAGGGUGAUCGGCCACACUGGAACUGAGACACGGUCCAGACUCCUACGGGAGGCAGCAGCC